UACGUAGGGUCCGAGCGUUGUCCGGAAUUAUUGGGCGUAAAGAGCUCGUAGGCGGUUUGUCGCGUCUGCUGUGAAAACCCGAGGCUCAACCUCGGGCCUGCAGUGGGUACGGGCAGACUAGAGUUCGGUAGGGGAGACUGGAAUUCCUGGUGUAGCGGUGAAAUGCGCAGAUAUCAGGAGGAACACCGGGUGGCGAAGGCGGGUCUCUGGGCCGAUAUUGACGCUGAGGAGCGAAAGCGUGGGGAGCAAACAGG
RNAcentral lists this ribosomal RNA (254 nucleotides) under uncultured bacterium. Its description in RNAcentral is "partial 16S ribosomal RNA". It matches the Rfam family "Bacterial small subunit ribosomal RNA", at positions 524 to 776 of the family's 1533-position model. The record is from RNAcentral.